RNAcentral lists this ribosomal RNA (467 nucleotides) under uncultured bacterium. RNAcentral's name for it is "partial 16S ribosomal RNA". It matches the Rfam family "Bacterial small subunit ribosomal RNA", at positions 28 to 507 of the family's 1533-position model. The record is from RNAcentral.
GAUGAACGCUGGCGGCGUGCUUAACACAUGCAAGUCGAACGGAAAGGCCCAAGCUUGCUUGGGUACUCGAGUGGCGAACGGGUGAGUAACACGUGGGUGAUCUGCCCUGCACUUCGGGAUAAGCCUGGGAAACUGGGUCUAAUACCGGAUAGGACCACUUCUUGGAUGUUGUGGUGGAAAGUUUUUUCGGUGUGGGAUGAGCUCGCGGCCUAUCAGCUUGUUGGUGGGGUAAUGGCCUACCAAGGCGUCGACGGGUAGCCGGCCUGAGAGGGUGUACGGCCACAUUGGGACUGGGAUACGGCCCAGACUCCUACGGGGGGCAGCAGUGGGGAAUAUUGCACAAUGGGCGCAAGCCUGAUGCAGCGACGCCGCGGGGGGGAUGACGGCCUUCGGGUUGUAAACUCCUUUCGCUAGGGACGAAGCGUUUUGUGACGGUACCUGGAGAAGAAGCACCGGCUAACUACGUG